UACGGAAGGCAGCAGUGGGGAAUAUUGCACAAUGGGCGAAAGCCUGAUGCAGCUAUGCCGCGUGUAUGAAGAAGGCCUUAGGGUUGUAAAGUACUUUCAUCGGGGAGGAAAAACAAAACUAAUAAUUUUAUUUCUUGACGUUACCCGAAAAAGAAGCACCGACUAACUCCGUGCCAGCAGCCGCGGUAAUACGGAGGGUGCUAGCGUUAAUCAGAAUUACUGGGCGUAAAGAGCACGUAGGUGGUUUUUUUAAGUCAGAUGUGAAAUCCCUGGGCUUAACCUAGGAACUGCAUUUUGAAACUGAAAUACUAGAGUAUCGUAGAGGGAGGUAGAAUUCUAGGUGUAGCGGUGAAAUGCGUAGAUAUCUGGAGGAAUACCUGUGGCGAAAGCGGCCUCCUAAACGAAUACUGACACUGAGGUGCGAAAGCGUGGGGAGCAAACAGGGAUUAGAUACC
This 455-nucleotide ribosomal RNA is filed under the name uncultured bacterium. RNAcentral's name for it is "bacterial SSU rRNA". It matches the Rfam family "Bacterial small subunit ribosomal RNA", at positions 340 to 786 of the family's 1533-position model. The record is from RNAcentral.